GACGAACGCUGGCGGCGUGGAUUAGGCAUGCAAGUCGAACGGUAUCAUCCUUUCGGGGGUGAGAGAGUGGCGAACUGGUGAGUAACACGUAGGUUAUCUACCCUCAAGACGGGGACAACCCAGGGAAACUUGGGCUAAUACCGGAUGUGAGCAACUUUUUAGUUGUUUGAAAGGUGGCGUAAGCUGUCGCUUGGGGAUGAGCCUGCGUCCUAUUAGUUAGUUGGUGAGGUAACGGCUCACCUAGGCAAUGAUAGGUAGGCGGCCUUAACGGGUGGUCGCCCACACUGGGAUUGAGAUACGGCCCAGACUCCUACGGGAGGCAGCAGUCGAGAAUAGUCUACAAUGGUCGGAAGACUGAUAGUGCGACGCCGCGUGAACGAUGAAUCCCUUCGGGGUGUAAAGUUCUUUUAUAUGUGAGCAGUGCUUCUUAUAUUAACAGUAUGGGGAGAGAGAUAUUAGCAUAUGAAUAAGCAACGGCUAACUCCGUGCCAGCAGCCGCGGUAAGCU
This 507-nucleotide ribosomal RNA is filed under the name uncultured bacterium. RNAcentral's name for it is "bacterial SSU rRNA". It matches the Rfam family "Bacterial small subunit ribosomal RNA", at positions 28 to 526 of the family's 1533-position model. The record is from RNAcentral.